UCACAGUCAUAUCACCCUGCAGCCCAAGACCGGUUACUCACUGAAUUCUAAGCAGGACUGAGUCUGGUCAGUACCUGGAUAGGAGACCACAUGGGAAAACUAGGUUGCUGUUGGAA
Ribosomal RNA from Danio rerio (zebrafish), 116 nucleotides. Lineage: Eukaryota; Metazoa; Chordata; Actinopteri; Cypriniformes; Danionidae. The record is from Ensembl.